UACACAUUGAUUUUUUGAGUAAAACUUGAACGUAUCUUAGAACAGAAGAUAAUUAAUUUCUCAAAUUAUGUUUAAUAAAGCACAUUAGUCUGUUCAAACUUGAUUUUUAAUCCGCUACGCGUUUUCAACCUGUCCGAUACAGAAGGGCAAUGCAGGAUGGAUCGUAAAUAUAAAAACUACUAUAAGAAUAUGAUUGAAUACGAUUGAAAAGGGGUAAUAAACAAACGCUUUAAAUAUAAAAAGCUUCUUCA
Non-coding RNA from Schizosaccharomyces pombe (fission yeast), 251 nucleotides. The record is from the annotation of a GenBank genome assembly. NCBI's taxonomy places the organism in Eukaryota, Fungi, Ascomycota, Schizosaccharomycetes, Schizosaccharomycetales, Schizosaccharomycetaceae.